GAUGAAGAACGCAGCAAAAUGCGAUAAGUAAUGUGAAUUGCAGAAUUCAGUGAAUCAUCGAAUCUUUGAACGCACAUUGCGCCCGCUGGUAUUCCGGCGGGCAUGCCUGUUCGAGCGUCAUUUCAACCCUCAAGCCCCCGGGUUUGGUGUUGGGGAUCGGCUCUGCCCUUCUGGGCGGUGCCGCCCCCGAAAUACAUUGGCGGUCUCGCUGCAGCCUCCAUUGCGUAGUAGCUAACACCUCGCAACUGGAACGCGGCGCGGCCAUGCCGUAAAACCCCCCGACCACGGAGCCCCGGCUCCUGAACGUUGACCUCGGAUCAGGUAGGAAUACCCGCUGAACUUAAGCAUAUCAAUAAGCGGAGGA
Molecule: unclassified non-coding RNA, 364 nt
Filed under: soil metagenome
Description: partial contains 5.8S ribosomal RNA, internal transcribed spacer 2, and large subunit ribosomal RNA
Rfam family: 5.8S ribosomal RNA (bases 1-120)
Source: RNAcentral